CUGGCGGCGUGCUUAACACAUGCAAGUCGAACGAAGCAGCAGUGAAGGAGGCUUCGGCCAAUGGAUCUGCUGACUUAGUGGCGGACGGGUGAGUAACGCGUGAGCAACCUGCCUUUCAGAGGGGGAUAACGUUUGGAAACGAACGCUAAUACCGCAUGACAUAGUAUUAUCGCAUGGUAGUGCUAUCAAAGGAGCAAUCCGCUGAAAGAUGGGCUCGCGUCCGAUUAGAUAGUUGGUGGGGUAACGGCCUACCAAGUCGACGAUCGGUAGCCGGACUGAGAGGUUGAACGGCCACAUUGGGACUGAGACACGGCCCAGACUCCUACGGGAGGCAGCAGUGGGGAAUAUUGCACAAUGGGCGCAAGCCUGAUGCAGCAACGCCGCGUGAGGGAAGACGGUUUUCGGAUUGUAAACCUCUGUCCUUGGUGACGAACAAAUGACGGUAGCCGAGGAGGAAGCCACGGCUAACUACGUGCCAGCCGCCGC
RNAcentral lists this ribosomal RNA (486 nucleotides) under uncultured bacterium. RNAcentral's name for it is "bacterial SSU rRNA". It matches the Rfam family "Bacterial small subunit ribosomal RNA", at positions 36 to 518 of the family's 1533-position model. The record is from RNAcentral.